RNAcentral lists this ribosomal RNA (206 nucleotides) under uncultured bacterium. RNAcentral's name for it is "partial 16S ribosomal RNA". It matches the Rfam family "Bacterial small subunit ribosomal RNA", at positions 568 to 774 of the family's 1533-position model. The record is from RNAcentral.
UGCGUAGGCGGUCGGGAAAGUUUGAUGUGAAAGCUCCGAGCUCAACUUGGAAAAUGCAUUGAAAACUAUCCGACUAGAGGAUUGUAUGGGAGACUGGAAUUCUCGGUGUAGCAGUGAAAUGCGUAGAUAUCGAGAGGAACACCAGUGGCGAAGGCGAGUCUCUGGACAAUUCCUGACGCUGAGGCACGAAAGCUAGGGAGCAAACA